Molecule: long non-coding RNA, 154 nt
Organism: Herpailurus yagouaroundi (jaguarundi)
Lineage: Eukaryota; Metazoa; Chordata; Mammalia; Carnivora; Felidae
Exons: 2
Source: RefSeq, a predicted model, not a curated record
AAAAAGAAUGAAACAGUGUCAUUUGCAGCAACAUGGAUGGAUCCAGAGGGUAUUAUGCUAAGUGAAAUAAGUCAGAAAAAGACAGAUAUCUUAUUUUUUACUCAUGUGUAAUUUGAGAAACUUGAUAGAAAACCAUAGGGGAAGGAAAAAUAAG